This 433-nucleotide ribosomal RNA is filed under the name uncultured bacterium. RNAcentral describes it as "partial 16S ribosomal RNA". It matches the Rfam family "Bacterial small subunit ribosomal RNA", at positions 29 to 507 of the family's 1533-position model. The record is from RNAcentral.
AACGAACGCUGGCGGCAUGCCUAACACAUGCAAGUCGAACGAGACCUUCGGGUCUAGUGGCGCACGGGUGCGUAACGCGUGGGAACCUGCCCUUAGGUUCGGGAUAACUCCCCGAAAGGGGUUCUAAUACCGGAUAAUUUCUUCGGACCAAAGAUUUAUCGCCUUUGGAUGGGCCCGCGUUGGAUUUGCUAGUUGGUAGGGUAAAAGCCUACCAAGGCGACGAUCCAUAGCUGGUCUGAGAGGAUGAUCAGCCACACUGGGACUGAGACACGGCCCAGACUCCUACGGGAGGCAGCAGUGGGGAAUAUUGGACAAUGGGCGAAAGCCUGAUCCAGCAAUGCCGCGUGAGUGAUGAAGGCCUUAGGGUUGUAAAGCUCUUUUACCCGGGAUGAUAAUGACAGUACCGGGAGAAUAAGCUCCGGCUAACUCCGUG